This 207-nucleotide ribosomal RNA is filed under the name uncultured bacterium. Its description in RNAcentral is "partial 16S ribosomal RNA". It matches the Rfam family "Bacterial small subunit ribosomal RNA", at positions 331 to 533 of the family's 1533-position model. The record is from RNAcentral.
UGCCCUUCCUACGGGAGGCAGCAGUGGGGAAUAUUGGACAAUGGGGGCAACCUUGAUCCAGCCAUGCCGCGUGUGUGAAGAAGGUCUUUUGGUUGUAAAGCACUUUAAGCAGUGAAGAAGACUCCAUGGUUAAUACCCAUGGACGAUGACAUUAGCUGCAGAAUAAGCACCGGCUAACUCUGUGCCAGCAGCCGCGGUAAUAAGGGC